AGGUAUAAAGAAUCUAAGCUACUAAAUAUAUUCCUGUCUGAGAUCAGAUUAUUUGUUUGAUAUGUUGAUGAUAUGCAAGAAAAGGUUUGCCAUCAUUGCACUACGGCUUAUUCUGACAAUAGAACAUAGUAGUAAUGCAGCCUUCCAUUUUUUAGAUGUGCAUGUAGAGACAGACAGAAGUGAUUAUAUUACUACCAUAUAUAGGAACCCUACCUAUGUGCCUGUUCUGAUACCAGCAUUGUCACAAGAUCCUAUGCCAUAUAAAUUAGCCGCAUUUAGGACAAUGUUUCGAAGAAUAUUGCCCUAAAUGCUCACACCACUAAGUAGCAAGAUAGAUUAAAGAACUGUCAAAUGUUUAUGCACAAGGGUGCAAGUAUGGAUAUAGUAACAGGGUUAUGGAAGGUUUACGGAAGAAAAUACGAAAAUCUAUGGAGAAACCUCCCCUGCUAAGACCCCAAGAUCGGCAUACCUAUAAUAUACACCCUAUGUCUCAGAUUACAUAUUAUAAGAGUACUGAUAAGAUCUUGAACAGGGCCAUAAAAGAUGGGGACUGUA
RNAcentral lists this long non-coding RNA (555 nucleotides) under Androctonus crassicauda. Lineage: Eukaryota; Metazoa; Arthropoda; Arachnida; Scorpiones; Buthidae. The record is from RNAcentral.